RNAcentral lists this ribosomal RNA (619 nucleotides) under Lactococcus lactis. RNAcentral's name for it is "bacterial SSU rRNA". It matches the Rfam family "Bacterial small subunit ribosomal RNA", at positions 75 to 684 of the family's 1533-position model. Lineage: Bacteria; Bacillati; Bacillota; Bacilli; Lactobacillales; Streptococcaceae. The record is from RNAcentral.
UUGUACCGACUGGAUGAGCAGCGAACGGGUGAGUAACGCGUGGGGAAUCUGCCUUUGAGCGGGGGACAACAUUUGGAAACGAAUGCUAAUACCGCAUAAAAACUUUAAACACAAGUUUUAAGUUUGAAAGAUGCAAUUGCAUCACUCAAAGAUGAUCCCGCGUUGUAUUAGCUAGUUGGUGAGGUAAAGGCUCACCAAGGCGAUGAUACAUAGCCGACCUGAGAGGGUGAUCGGCCACAUUGGGACUGAGACACGGCCCAAACUCCUACGGGAGGCAGCAGUAGGGAAUCUUCGGCAAUGGACGAAAGUCUGACCGAGCAACGCCGCGUGAGUGAAGAAGGUUUUCGGAUCGUAAAACUCUGUUGGUAGAGAAGAACGUUGGUGAGAGUGGAAAGCUCAUCAAGUGACGGUAACUACCCAGAAAGGGACGGCUAACUACGUGCCAGCAGCCGCGGUAAUACGUAGGUCCCGAGCGUUGUCCGGAUUUAUUGGGCGUAAAGCGAGCGCAGGUGGUUUAUUAAGUCUGGUGUAAAAGGCAGUGGCUCAACCAUUGUAUGCAUUGGAAACUGGUAGACUUGAGUGCAGGAGAGGAGAGUGGAAUUCCAUGGGUAAGCGGUUG